UUCACUUUUUUGCAUGUUCCAGUAGUGUUACUAGGAAUCAAAACAAAUGUUUACCAAUUUCAUAUGCACCAAAAAGUCAUUAAUGGAGCCGACGGAGAGCACUGGUCAGAGUGUAGGAUCGACUACUCCAAUUGCACUUGAAGAUGACGCCAAUAGCAGUUUCAUGGUACAUAAUUUGGUGAAUCAAAUAAUUGUGUCUUUUUUUACCAUAUCAUUUAUUUAUUUAUCCUUCCUAUUUAUUUUUCUUAUUUGGAAGGAUGCAAAUCAGUCGGCUUCAUGUGGUGGAGAUAGUUAAAGUACACCAAGGAAAACAAGUAGCAUACCGAUCCGUGCAAGUAUUGUUUGAUUUUCAGUAUAGAAGUGCCAAAUUUAACUUACAAAUGAUAGUUCUAAUGUAAUUUUGCAGGGUUCAGUAUACGUGGCUGAGUGUGACAAAAGCUUGGAGCCGGCAAUUGGCAUGGUCGUUGAUAAAUGGGAGACCGGCGAGAUGUUCUACACACGGUGAGAUGUUCUACACAUGAUCAGGAGAAUUAGAUGGCGCAACAGACAUGCAGGUUAUUUGGCAUCACAGAAGUGUUUAUGGUUUCACAUAUUUAAUGUUGUACGAUCUUUUGAGAGGGUUUAUUAGGUUGUUGUAAUUCUUGAUGUUAUCAUGUAGAUGUGCAUUUCUGCCAGCAUAGGAUGGCGUACAAGGAGAAUAUGAAGUCACCAAGUGAUCUGUAGUGAAGCUGUUUGGUUUAAUUAUAUAAAUUAGUGAACUAAAUAAUACGCUUGUAAAUAUAUGUAUAUUAAGGUCAUGUUAAUUCCUAUAUCAAGAUGGCAGCAUAUGAUGCACCUUUAUUUGGUGAACUGCUUCUGAUCCAGCGAUCUUUUGAUGCUAUGAAUGAUUUUUGGCAAUUUGCCAUCCCUCACAAUUUGCUAGCUUGUACUAUUGUUUAUUGAGAUGGAUUUUUUGUCAAGAUUUCUGCUAAAUAUUUUGAUCAUCAAAAAUUUCAG
RNAcentral lists this long non-coding RNA (996 nucleotides) under Triticum aestivum (bread wheat). RNAcentral's name for it is "long non-coding RNA (TAES_LNC005865)". The record is from RNAcentral. Lineage: Eukaryota; Viridiplantae; Streptophyta; Magnoliopsida; Poales; Poaceae.